RNAcentral lists this ribosomal RNA (410 nucleotides) under Verrucomicrobiota bacterium. RNAcentral describes it as "Verrucomicrobia bacterium partial 16S ribosomal RNA". It matches the Rfam family "Bacterial small subunit ribosomal RNA", at positions 355 to 776 of the family's 1533-position model. The record is from RNAcentral. Lineage: Bacteria; Pseudomonadati; Verrucomicrobiota.
UGGGGAAUCUUGCACAAUGGGCGAAAGCCUGAUGCAGCGACGCCGCGUGCGGGAUGAAGGCCUUCGGGUUGUAAACCGCUUUCAGCAGGGACGAGGCCGCAAGGUGACGGUACCUGCAGAAGAAGCCCCGGCUAACUACGUGCCAGCAGCCGCGGUAAUACGUAGGGGGCAAGCGUUAUCCGGAUUCAUUGGGCGUAAAGCGCGCGUAGGCGGUUUGUUAGGUCAGGAGUUAAAUCUGGGGGCUCAACCCCUAUCCGCUCCUGAUACCGGCAGGCUUGAGUCUGGUAGGGGAAGGCGGAAUUCCAAGUGUAGCGGUGAAAUGCGCAGAUAUUUGGAAGAACACCGGUGGAGAAGGCGGCCUUCUGGGCCACGACUGACGCUGAGGCGCGAAAGCUAGGGGAGCGAACAGG